This 253-nucleotide ribosomal RNA is filed under the name uncultured bacterium. Its description in RNAcentral is "partial 16S ribosomal RNA". It matches the Rfam family "Bacterial small subunit ribosomal RNA", at positions 524 to 776 of the family's 1533-position model. The record is from RNAcentral.
UACAGAGACUGCAAGCGUUGUUCGGAAUCACUGGGCGUAAAGGGCGCGUAGGCGGCCCUUCUUGUCGCGUGUGAAAGCCCCGGGCUCAACCUGGGAAUGGCGCGCGAGACGGGGGGGCUGGAGUUCGGGAGAGGAGCGUGGAAUUCCCAGUGUAGAGGUGAAAUGCGCAGAUAUCGGGAAGAACACCCGUGGCGAAGGCGGCACUCUGGGACGGUACUGACGCUGAGACGCGAAAGCGUGGGGAGCGAACAGG